AACGAACGCUGGCGGCAUGCCUAACACAUGCAAGUCGAACGAGACCUUCGGGUCUAGUGGCGCACGGGUGCGUAAAGCGUGGGAAACUGCCCUUAGGUUCGGAAUAAACCCCCGAAAGGGGUGCGAAUACCGGAUAAUAUCCUAGGACCAAAGAUUUAUCGCCUUUGGAUGGGCCCGCGUUGGAUUAGAUAGUUGGUAGGGUAAAAUCCUACCAAGGCGACGAUCCAUAGCUGGUCUGAGAGGAUGAUCAGGCACACUGGGACUGAGACACGGCCCAGACUCCUACGGGAGGCAGCAGUGGGGAAUAUUGGACAAUGGGCGAGAGCCUGAUCCAGCAAUGCCGGGUGAGUGAUGAAGGCCUUAUGGUUGUAAAGCUCUUUUACCCGGGAUGAUAAUGACAGUACCGGGAGAAUAAGCUCCGGCUAACUCCGUG
This 433-nucleotide ribosomal RNA is filed under the name uncultured bacterium. RNAcentral describes it as "partial 16S ribosomal RNA". It matches the Rfam family "Bacterial small subunit ribosomal RNA", at positions 29 to 507 of the family's 1533-position model. The record is from RNAcentral.